AUGCAGGACCAGCGCCCAGCGGCAGGAAAUCCCCGAGGACAGGAGAUUGCCGGGGCGGCCUUGCUCGGGGACCUGGUGGAAGCGGCGGAAAAUGCUGCUGUCCGCGAUCCUUCCGAAGGAGACGGCGGAAAUUCUGUAGCUGGGAGCAGGGGCUGGGAUGAAGGGCCCGUGAAAAUAGACCACUCCGCUCGGCCACGGUUGGAAAGCAAAGGCAGAAAUGCUGCUGGUCCCACUGUUGCUGGGGAAUCUGGCGUUUCUGACGGCAGCUGCUCGUGUUCCGUAGAACACAACAGCUCCUGGGGUGACUUUGAAGGCUUCAGCGAGGCUUCUGACAAGUCUGACACUUUCAGCACCCUGGAAAUGCUGGAGCGCUGGGCAGCGCCGGGAACCCGGGAAAGUGAUCCGGAUUUAAAUGCUUGUGGCUCAAACUCUUGUGGCUGUCUGCAGGCUGAUAGUUUAGCCAGGAUGAGCGAAACUGCUGCUGUUUCACCUAAUCAGGCCAGUCUCAGCUAUGAGAAUAUUUUUAAGCUUGUCUUUCAAGAAGUUCCAGUGCAACAAAUGACCGAGGAUAUUUGCACCUUACACCAUUUUCUAGAAAAACAUAAUGAAGAAAAUACUAGCUGCAAACCUGUAAAGAAGCAAUUUUGCUCUGAAUCCCAAAAACUCUGGAGGAUUCUCCAAGAUGAAGAUAGCACAUCUACUUCAAGAUGCCUCUGGAGUAAAUCUCAUUGCCAAGACAAUUUCUUACUUGUUCUUGGAAUAGAUGCUGCUCAAAAAGAUCUUUCAGGAGGUAAGAAUCACGUUCUGGAAGAUUCUAACCUGAAAGAGACUGAAGAGUUAACAGAAGUAAAUGGCUUUAAUCUUAAUAAUUGCAAGGCACUAAUUCAAACCAAGCUCUCUGGAUCUUCAGCUCCCCGACACAGCAGCCUGUUUAUGUACAACUUGUUUUUGAAGAAGACUCCUUCCAGUGGAAAUAUGCAAUACAUAACAAUUCCAAGAAAGAAAAAACUUUUUACUGCCUGGAAUCUAAAAAUGAAAAUUUUUAAUAGUGAUGUUUGCUAAAGAAAAAAUACUUUUUAUCUUUGAGGAAAAUCUUACCUUUUGCUACUGAUUUGGUACUGGAAACUGGAAAUCAUAGACAUCUUUGAGGGUCUUUCUGGAGACACCUCAAUCUUCUGUUUGGACAUAAAACUCAGUGCUGCGUGUUGUGCACUAAACCUGGGAUAA
This is an RNA transcript of Gracilinanus agilis (Agile Gracile Mouse Opossum), 1227 nucleotides long. It is a transcript of the gene named clathrin binding box of aftiphilin containing 1, with no coding region annotated. NCBI's taxonomy places the organism in Eukaryota, Metazoa, Chordata, Mammalia, Didelphimorphia, Didelphidae. The transcript has 6 exons. The record is from RefSeq and is a predicted model, not a curated record.